GAUGAACGCUGGCGGCGUGCCUAAUACAUGCAAGUCGAACGAAACUUCUUUAUCACCGAGUGCUUGCACUCACCGAUAAAGAGUUGAGUGGCGAACGGGUGAGUAACACGUGGGCAACCUGCCCAAAAGAGGGGGAUAACACUUGGAAACAGGUGCUAAUACCGCAUAACCAUAGUUACCGCAUGGUAACUAUGUAAAAGGUGGCUAUACUACCGCUUUUGGAUGGGCCCGCGGCGCAUUAGCUAGUUGGUAGGGUAAAGGCUUACCAAGGCAAUGAUGCGUAGCCGAAUUGAGAGGUUGAUCGGCCACAUUGGGACUGAGACACGGCCCAAACGCCUACGGGAGGCAGCAGUAGGGAAUCUUCCACAAUGGGCGAAAGCCUGAUGGAGCAACGCCGCGUGGGUGAAGAAGGUCUUCGGAUCGUAAAACCCUGUUGUUAGAGAAGAAAGUGCGUGAGAGUAACUGUUCACGUUUCGACGGUAUCUAACCAGAAAGCCACUGCUAACUACGUG
This 512-nucleotide ribosomal RNA is filed under the name uncultured bacterium. RNAcentral describes it as "partial 16S ribosomal RNA". It matches the Rfam family "Bacterial small subunit ribosomal RNA", at positions 28 to 507 of the family's 1533-position model. The record is from RNAcentral.